AAGAUUCAUUGGAUUAUAUAUGUAAUACAAUAAUAGCAAAAAUACAAUGCCUACAAAAGGUAUUGGCACACUGUAUUUAUUACACUGUAUUUUUACAGCAUUUACAUAAUAAUUAAUUAGGUUCAAGUAUAUUAAAUUUUGUAUUAUGUAAUAGUAAUUUCAUAUAACUACAAAAAUUUAAUAUUUUAAAUAUGAGGUGACGAACCUGAUAGAAAAAAAGGUUUCAUUGUAUAUCAACUUUUUUGUUUAUUUGGUACAUUAAAUUAUGAGAGUUUUACAAUAGAAUUAAAAAUUGUAGACACAGAGAAAAUCAAUUGAAAACGAGUUUAUAUGUAAGAGGAAGUCCGUGGUGCUCACUGUCAUGAAAGGAUCCAGUCUUGCUUAUCAGGUUCCUCUAGCUACUUUAACAAUAAGCCCUUAAAAUCACAUUCUUCAAGGUCCUAACUCUAUUCGCCAAAAAUUACUAUUAUUGAAUUUCCACAUAUAAAAGAAUGAAAGUACAAUACAAAUAUUAAAAGAUAAAUAUUGUUUAAAAUGAAAUAUCAUAAUUGUGAAUACGUGAUUUUCUGUAUCGCAUUCAUGGUGUGUUUUUCAAAAUAUUUACUAUGAUUUAUUUCAGUGUGAAUACAUGUACGUAUAUGAUUUAUUUUCGUAUAAAAGUUUAUGGCUACUUAAAGACGUACGUGACGUAGGUCAAUGAUCGAACUAUAAAUCAAUAUUCGCCUAGAAAUGUUUCCAGUCACUCACAUCGCAAUUUUUUGGAAUUUCCACGCAAAAAGAGGUACAAUUCAAAUAAAAUGAUUUUUUAUUUACAUUAUAGAAAUAUAUUCUAUUACUAGAGGUCAAUAAUAUAGAACAAUAAUAUAGAACAAUAAUAAGAUCUUUAAAAGUAUAAAAAUGUAAGUCUAAAAACAUAAGAAAUAUUUAAAAUGAAGUACACAGUUGUUAUAUGUAUCCCUGAAUGGAUAAAACUUAUGUUAAUAAAGAUGUGUAUAAAAGUGUAUAAAAAUCCAUAAUCUAGUAUAUUAUUCAAGUCUGUACAAUUACGUUAUUAAUGCUGAAAAUGAUUUCUACAAGCUUUCAUUUAAGAUGAUGAGCAAUUUAGAUAACUUUAUGAAAACUUCAAAAGAAAAAUUGGCGAUGAGUCUUUUAUAUGAUAAUAGCGAAUGUGAGAAUUGAAAUAUGUAUCACAAACAUACUUUCACGCACAUAUUCGUGUCGAUGCAAGUGUACGUUGAUGAAUAAGAAGCCCUGUACGUAUUUUGUAUUAUUCGUGCAGUUAAAUACAGACAAUGCGAAUGGUUGUCUGUUUAAGUCAAUUACUGUAACCAGCGUCAUUCCAGGUAAUCUCAACUAUCUCGUAGGUUUGCUGCACAUUUAACAGUCAGCAUGCAGUCAUCCAACUAUUAUGUCAUUCGGAUCCUAUAAGAAUAGAUCUACAACAGUGGUUCUCAAAUUAUUCUUUAUGAAUUUGGGAGAUGAAAAUUAUAACACAAAUCAGUCCACUAUUAAUUUUUAUAAAACGACAUUCUGCAUUUAUUAUUAUAAAAAUUUAUAUUGUUACAAGGCAUGAAUACUCGUCGUAGCAGUAAAUAAGAUCAUAACAUAAUUUAAUUAAGUACAAAACUAAAAAGAUAAUACGUUUAAAAAUUAACAUAUAUAUAGGAUUGUGUGAAUUCAAAUUCUCAAAAUCUUAAUUUAUAUUACCAUGAUUUUGAGUUUGUCAAUUUUAUUAAGAAUCUAUUUCGAUCAUUUUCCUAUAUAUCGAAAAACAUAACCUAUAAUAUAGAUGGUACUCUAAAGUUCAACAACCAAAUUUUGUAAUUAUACUCCAUGACUAUGAUUAAUAAAAGAAUAUUAUAUAAACACAAAAUAUUGAAUUUAUUAUUCUAUGAAGCUCAUUCUUGUUUUAUUUAAUAAAAUUAUGCACGUAUAAAAGUUCAAUGGUUUAUUUUUUAUGGUUGAAAAUCACUGCUGUACAAUUUCAUGAAUGUAAUUGUAAUAUAUCCUCGAUCGGUAAAUCAGCGUAAAAACAACUGAUUGUGAAAAACAAUUUACUUGAAAAUGAAUGACCUUAGAAAAAUCAUAUAUGGUGAUUCGUUGACUGAUGAGUCAUUCUACUUUCCAAAUCUAUUGAUUGUGGCAUUCGUGACAUAUGAUCCAACAUGAUUACAUGUGCACAAUUUGUCUAUGAUUUUCAUCCAUGAAAAUCUUGUGAACCUAAGAAACUUCCUUGCUACGUUAUAUAGAUCUCCUAAGGUUAUGUUUCUCUUAGCUAUAUGAAAAAUGCAUUAAGAUGCUAACGAAAGUCUAAUGAAGCUUUGCAGUGAUCUCCUACUCCACAUAAUCAAGAUGUUUUGCUUAUUACUAUUUUACGUUAGCAAGAAAAUUCAUUAAUUAAGUUAUUAUAAUGUAACAUUUGUAUUUAAAAGGUGGUGUAGUUAAAACAUUUUGAGCAUUACUAUGUAAAAAGUAGUUAAUUUAUAUUCAUUAUUUGAUUUAUUUAAAUUUAUGAAAUUUCAUACUUGUUUAUAUAAAUGUAUGUUUUAGUAUUUUUAAUAUGUAAAUAUAUGUAUAGUAUGUUAGAUAAAAAUGUUGCCCCUCCAACAAUUUAACUUUUUCACAAAACUGAGCAGUGAAGCUUGACAAACGUUUUUCUUGGUUCGCGAACUAUGAAUUACUUGUAGUUGUUACAAGUGCAUCUCGCUUUUAUUUCCCAUUUAGAUGUUAAAUUGAUCGAAUAAAAAUGUAUACUUCGCUUGUUUUAUUAUAGAAAAGAGGAAAACAGUGAAUCCGCUUUAUACAAUGAAUAUUUUAUCUGUUAUUCUAAAACAAUUUUGUAAAUAUUAAUAAACAAAUUAAUACAAAAAAUAUCAUUUUAUUUUUAUUGUUUGUUUUUAUUAUUUAUUGUCAGUCACGUUUAAAUGGAAUGUAGGACAAUUGUCAAUCGUGAAAUGAAUAUCGUUAUGCAAGAUUAUGGAAAUCGCUUCCGCUUUUCAUCACAACAAUCCGAUAGUCAUCCGAGAUAGCGAGGUGCAGAAUUUGUUCCGGUUGACAUAAUAGUUACAGGAUGU
Bombus pyrosoma is the source of this 3074-nucleotide long non-coding RNA. RefSeq lists it as uncharacterized. NCBI's taxonomy places the organism in Eukaryota, Metazoa, Arthropoda, Insecta, Hymenoptera, Apidae. The record is from RefSeq and is a predicted model, not a curated record. The transcript is spliced from 3 exons.